UACGUAGGGCGCAAGCGUUGUCCGGAAUUAUUGGGCGUAAAGAGCUCGUAGGCGGUCUGUCGCGUCGGCUGUGAAAACCCGGGGCUCAACCCCGGGCCUGCAGUCGAUACGGGCAGACUAGAGUGCGGUAGGGGAGACUGGAAUUCCUGGUGUAGCGGUGAAAUGCGCAGAUAUCAGGAGGAACACCGGUGGCGAAGGCGGUUCUCUGGGCCUUACCUGACGCUGAGGAGCGAAAGCGUGGGGAGCGAACAGG
RNAcentral lists this ribosomal RNA (253 nucleotides) under uncultured bacterium. RNAcentral describes it as "partial 16S ribosomal RNA". It matches the Rfam family "Bacterial small subunit ribosomal RNA", at positions 524 to 776 of the family's 1533-position model. The record is from RNAcentral.